GACGAACGCUGGCGGCGCGCUUAACACAUGCAAGUCGUGCGGUACCGAUGGCAAGUCUUCAUGACGAGCCUUCGGUAUAGCGGCGGACGGGUGAGGAAAACGUAGGAACGUGCCCCUUGGAGUUGGAUAGCCACGGGAAACUGUGGGUAAACCGACAUAGACUCGAGAGAGUAAAGGCCGAAAGGCGCCAAGGGAGCGGCCUGCGGCCCAUCAGGUAGUUGGUAGUGUAAAGGACUACCAAGCCGACGACGGGUAGCCGGUCUGAGAGGAUGGCCGGCCACAAGGGCACUGAGAGACGGGCCCUACUCCUACGGGAGGCAGCAGUGGGGGAUUUUGGACAAUGGGCGAAAGCCUGAUCCAGCGACGCCGCGUGGAGGACGAAGCCCUUCGGGGUGUAAACUCCUUUUCUCAGGGAAAAAGGAUGAUGGUACCUGAGGAAUAAGCCCCGGCUAACUACGUG
This 460-nucleotide ribosomal RNA is filed under the name uncultured bacterium. Its description in RNAcentral is "bacterial SSU rRNA". It matches the Rfam family "Bacterial small subunit ribosomal RNA", at positions 28 to 507 of the family's 1533-position model. The record is from RNAcentral.